RNAcentral lists this ribosomal RNA (305 nucleotides) under uncultured bacterium. Its description in RNAcentral is "bacterial SSU rRNA". It matches the Rfam family "Bacterial small subunit ribosomal RNA", at positions 332 to 655 of the family's 1533-position model. The record is from RNAcentral.
UUGGCCCUACGGGAGGCAGCAGUGGGGGAUAUUGCACAAUGGGGGGAACCCUGAUGCAGCGACGCCGCGUGGGCGAUGGAGUACUUCGGUAUGUAAAGCCCUAUCAGCAGGGAAGAAGAUGACGGUACCUGACUAAGAAGCCCCGGCUAAAUACGUGCCAGCAGCCGCGGUAAUACGUAUGGGGCAAGCGUUAUCCGGAUUUACUGGGUGUAAAGGGAGCGCAGGCGGCCUGGCAAGCCUGAUGUGAAAUACCGGGGCCCAACCCCGGGGCUGCAUUGGGAACUGCCAGGCUGGAGUGCCGGAGG